AACAUGAUUAGAUACCCUGGUAGUCCACGCCGUAAACGAUGUCGACUUGGAGGUUGUGCCCUUGAGGCGUGGCUUCCGGAGCUAACGCGUUAAGUCGACCGCCUGGGGAGUACGGCCGCAAGGUUAAAACUCAAAUGAAUUGACGGGGGCCCGCACAAGCGGUGGAGCAUGUGGUUUAAUUCGAUGCAACGCGAAGAACCUUACCUGGUCUUGACAUCCACGGAAGUUUUCAGAGAUGAGAAUGUGCCUUCGGGAACCGUGAGACAGGUGCUGCAUGGCUGUCGUCAGCUCGUGUUGUGAAAUGUUGGGUUAAGUCCCGCAACGAGCGCAACCCUUAUCCUUUGUUGCCAGCGGUCCGGCCGGGAACUCAAAGGAGACUGCCAGUGAUAAACUGGAGGAAGGUGGGGAUGACGUCAAGUCAUCAUGGCCCUUACGACCAGGGCUACACACGUGCUACAAUGGCGCAUACAAAGAGAAGCGACCUCGCGAGAGCAAGCGGACCUCAUAAAGUGCGUCGUAGUCCGGAUUGGAGUCUGCAACUCGACUCCAUGAAGUCGGAAUCGCUAGUAAUCGUGGAUCAGAAUGCCACGGUGAAUACGUUCCCGGGCCUUGUACACACCGCCCGUCACACCAUGGGAGUGGGUUGCAAAAGAAGUAGGUAGCUUAACCUUCGGGAGGGCGCUUACCACUUUGUGAUUCAUGACUGGGGUGAAGUCGUAACAAGGUAACC
RNAcentral lists this ribosomal RNA (730 nucleotides) under uncultured bacterium. RNAcentral describes it as "bacterial SSU rRNA". It matches the Rfam family "Bacterial small subunit ribosomal RNA", at positions 771 to 1501 of the family's 1533-position model. The record is from RNAcentral.